UGGUUCUGGCAUNGAUGAAGAACGCAGCAAAAUGCGAUAAGUAAUGUGAAUUGCAGAAUUCAGUGAAUCAUCGAAUCUUUGAACGCACAUUGCGCCCGCCAGUAUUCUGGCGGGCAUGCCUGUUCGAGCGUCAUUUCAACCCUCAAGCUCAGCUUGGUGUUGGGAUUCGCGGCUCUGAGCCGCGGUCCCUAAAUACAUUGGCGGUCACGUCGAGCUUCCAUAGCGUAGUAAUUUACAUAUCGUUACUGGUAAUCGUCGCGGCCACGCCGUUAAACCCCAACUUCUGAAUGUUGACCUCGGAUCAGGUAGGAAUACCCGCUGA
RNAcentral lists this unclassified non-coding RNA (322 nucleotides) under uncultured fungus. Its description in RNAcentral is "partial contains 5.8S ribosomal RNA and internal transcribed spacer 2". The stretch from base 1 to 133 matches the Rfam family "5.8S ribosomal RNA", at positions 22 to 154 of the family's 154-position model. Lineage: Eukaryota; Fungi. The record is from RNAcentral.